This 68-nucleotide transfer RNA is filed under the name Microphor holosericeus. RNAcentral's name for it is "tRNA-Trp". It matches the Rfam family "tRNA". Rfam says of the family: Transfer RNA (tRNA) molecules are approximately 80 nucleotides in length. Their secondary structure includes four short double-helical elements and three loops (D, anti-codon, and T loops). Further hydrogen bonds mediate the characteristic L-shaped molecular structure. tRNAs have two regions of fundamental functional importance: the anti-codon, which is responsible for specific mRNA codon recognition, and the 3' end, to which the tRNAs corresponding amino acid is attached (by aminoacyl-tRNA synthetases). tRNAs cope with the degeneracy of the genetic code in two manners: having more than one tRNA (with a specific anti-codon) for a particular amino acid; and 'wobble' base-pairing, i.e. permitting non-standard base-pairing at the 3rd anti-codon position. Lineage: Eukaryota; Metazoa; Arthropoda; Insecta; Diptera; Empididae. The record is from RNAcentral.
AAGGCUUUAAGUUAAAAAAACUAAUAACCUUCAAAGCUAUAAAUAUAAGAUAAAUCUUUUAAGCCUUA